CUGAUAUUGAUGCUGUUGACAUACUACAUGAAUCACCUUGCAAUUUGAAUGAAGAACAUAUUAUGUCCUUGUUGCAAGCAAUUAAUCUAAAACUCCGAGUUGUCAAUCUCCAGGACGUGUCAUUGGAAGAGGACUUUUUGUGGGAUCUAUGUCAGCAUGGCUUAUCUUGCAAAAUUUUGAACUUGAAGACCACCCACAUCCAAAAAUUGAACAUGGUUGGAAACUUUAUGCAAUUACA
Molecule: unclassified non-coding RNA, 238 nt
Filed under: Hevea brasiliensis (rubber tree)
Lineage: Eukaryota; Viridiplantae; Streptophyta; Magnoliopsida; Malpighiales; Euphorbiaceae
Source: RNAcentral